GGCUGGUCUGAAGGUAGUGAGUUAUCUCACUUGAUUGUUCACAGUUAUAGAUCAAACUUCUUGUUCUACUGUUUCCCCUCUUCUCACUACUGUACUUGACUGUCUUUG
This 108-nucleotide Y RNA is filed under the name Piliocolobus tephrosceles (Ugandan red Colobus). RNAcentral's name for it is "Y RNA (ENSPTEG00000007896.1)". It matches the Rfam family "Y RNA". Rfam says of the family: Y RNAs are components of the Ro ribonucleoprotein particle (Ro RNP), in association with Ro60 and La proteins. The Y RNAs and Ro60 and La proteins are well conserved, but the function of the Ro RNP is not known. The record is from Rfam by way of RNAcentral. Lineage: Eukaryota; Metazoa; Chordata; Mammalia; Primates; Cercopithecidae.